This 433-nucleotide ribosomal RNA is filed under the name uncultured bacterium. RNAcentral's name for it is "partial 16S ribosomal RNA". It matches the Rfam family "Bacterial small subunit ribosomal RNA", at positions 29 to 507 of the family's 1533-position model. The record is from RNAcentral.
AACGAACGCUGGCGGCAUGCCUAACACAUGCAAGUCGAACGAGACCUUCGGGUCUAGUGGCGCACGGGUGCGUAACGCGUGGGAACCUGCCCUUAGGUUCGGAAUAACUCCCCGAAAGGGGUGCUAAUACCGGAUAAUGUCUUCGGACCAAAGAUUUAUCGCCUUUGGAUGGGCCCGCGUUGGAUUAGCUAGUUGGUAGGGUAAAAGCCUACCAAGGCGACGAUCCAUAGCUGGUCUGAGAGGAUGAUCAGCCACACUGGGACUGAGACACGGCCCAGACUCCUACGGGAGGCAGCAGUGGGGAAUAUUGGAGAAUGGGCGAAAGCCUGAUCCAGCAAUGCCGCGGGAGUGAUGAAGGCCUUAGGGUUGUAAAGCUCUUUUACCCGGGAUGAUAAUGACAGUACCGGGAGAAUAAGCUCCGGCUAACUCCGUG